RNAcentral lists this transfer RNA (71 nucleotides) under Biomphalaria glabrata. RNAcentral's name for it is "tRNA-Ser". The record is from RNAcentral. Lineage: Eukaryota; Metazoa; Mollusca; Gastropoda; Planorbidae.
UUUUUUUUCUUUUUGUAUUAAAAAUAGAUUUUGAAAAUCUAAAAUGGAUUUUACCAUAUCCGCAAAAAAAU